UAGGGAAUAUUGGUCAAUGGGGGCAACCCUGAACCAGCCAUGCCGCGUGCAGGAAGACGGCCUUCUGGGUUGUAAACUGCUUUUAUAUAGGAAGAAAAUAUCCAUGCGUGGAUACUAUGACGGUACUAUAAGAAUAAGCACCGGCUAACUCCGUGCCAGCAGCCGCGGUAAUACGGAGGGUGCAAGCGUUGUCCGGAAUUAUUGGGUUUAAAGGGUGCGUAGGCGGUUGAUUAAGUCAGAGCUGAAAUCCCACAGCUUAACUGUGGAACUGGCUUUGAUACUGGUCAACUUGAGUACACUAGAGGUAUGCGGAAUUUAUGAUGUAGCGGUGAAAUGCAUAGAUAUCAUAAAGAACACCGAUAGCGAAGGCAGCAUACUUGGGUGUAACUGACGCUGAGGCACGAAAGCAUGGGGAGCGAACAGGAUUAGAUACCCCCGUAGUCC
This 444-nucleotide ribosomal RNA is filed under the name uncultured prokaryote. Its description in RNAcentral is "bacterial SSU rRNA". It matches the Rfam family "Bacterial small subunit ribosomal RNA", at positions 355 to 796 of the family's 1533-position model. The record is from RNAcentral.